GACGAACGCUGGCGGCGUGCUUAACACAUGCAAGUCGAGCGGAAAGGCCCUGCUUUUGUGGGGUGCUCGAGUGGCGAACGGGUGAGUAACACGUGAGUAACCUGCCCUUGACUUUGGGAUAACUUCAGGAAACUGGGGCUAAUACCGGAUAGGAGCUCCUGCUGCAUGGUGGGGGUUGGAAAGUUUCGGCGGUUGGGGAUGGACUCGCGGCUUAUCAGCUUGUUGGUGGGGUAGUGGCUUACCAAGGCUUUGACGGGUAGCCGGCCUGAGAGGGUGACCGGCCACAUUGGGACUGAGAUACGGCCCAGACUCCUACGGGAGGCAGCAGUGGGGAAUAUUGCACAAUGGGCGGAAGCCUGAUGCAGCAACGCCGCGUGCGGGAUGACGGCCUUCGGGUUGUAAACCGCUUUCGCCUGUGACGAAGCGUGAGUGACGGUAAUGGGUAAAGAAGCACCGGCUAACUACGUGCCAGCAGCCGCGGUGAUACGUAGGGUGCGAGCGUUGUCCGGAUUUAUUGGGCGUAAAGGGCUCAUAGGUGGUUGAUCGCGUCGGAAGUGUAAUCUUGGGGCUUAACCCUGAGCGUGCUUUCGAUACGGGUUGACUUGAGGAAGGUAGGGGAGAAUGGAAUUCCUGGUGGAGCGGUGGAAUGCGCAGAUAUCAGGAGGAACACCAGUGGCGAAGGCGGUUCUCUGGGCCUUUCCUGACGCUGAGGAGCGAAAGCGUGGGGAGCGAACAGGCUUAGAUACCCUGGUAGUCCACGCUGUAAACGGUGGGUACUAGGUGUGGGGUCCAUUCCACGGGUUCCGUGCCGUAGCUAACGCUUUAAGUACCCCGCCUGGGGAGUACGGCCGCAAGGCUAAAACUCAAAGGAAUUGACGGGGCCCCGCACAAGCGGCGGAGCAUGCGGAUUAAUUCGAUGCAACGCGUAGAACCUUACCUGGGUUUGACAUGGAUCGGGAGUGCUCAGAGAUGGGUGUGCCUCUUUUGGGGUCGGUUCACAGGUGGUGCAUGGCUGUCGUCAGCUCGUGUCGUGAGAUGUUGGGUUAAGUCCCGCAACGAGCGCAACCCUUGUUCACUGUUGCCAGCACGUUAUGGUGGGGACUCAGUGGAGACCGCCGGGGUCAACUCGGAGGAAGGUGGGGAUGACGUCAAGUCAUCAUGCCCCUUAUGUCCAGGGCUUCACGCAUGCUACAAUGGCUGGUACAGAGAGUGGCGAGCCUGUGAGGGUGAGCGAAUCUCGGAAAGCCGGUCUCAGUUCGGAUUGGGGUCUGCAACUCGACCUCAUGAAGUCGGAGUCGCUAGUAAUCGCAGAUCAGCAACGCUGCGGUGAAUACGUUCCCGGGGCU
Molecule: ribosomal RNA, 1346 nt
Filed under: uncultured bacterium
Lineage: Bacteria
Description: partial 16S ribosomal RNA
Rfam family: Bacterial small subunit ribosomal RNA
Source: RNAcentral